Molecule: small RNA, 358 nt
Filed under: Pongo abelii (Sumatran orangutan)
Lineage: Eukaryota; Metazoa; Chordata; Mammalia; Primates; Hominidae
Description: retained intron
Source: RNAcentral
ACCUCGGUGUCCACGCUGUCCCCGCAGCCCGGCAGCGUUGACGGACUGGACAAAACUUCUAUAGCAAACUCAGAUGGCCCCACAGCAGGUUCCCAAACACCUCCCUUCAAAAGAAAGGGGAAACUAUCCACCAUUGGUAAAAUCUUUAAGCCUUGGAAAUGGAGGAAAAAGAAGACCAGCGACAAAUUUAGAGAAACCUCAGCAGGUAUGAGUAUCAUAACUGGUUAGAAGAUGGGAUAAACUGUAAAAUGUUUUAAAAGGUAGAAAAUUAUGUUUUACAGUGUGUUUUUUCCCAGAAAAAAAUUAAUCCAUAUUUGAAAUGAAAUUCUUUAUUUUAAGAAUAAAAUAAGGAUGAAAC